RNAcentral lists this ribosomal RNA (496 nucleotides) under uncultured bacterium. Its description in RNAcentral is "partial 16S ribosomal RNA". It matches the Rfam family "Bacterial small subunit ribosomal RNA", at positions 28 to 507 of the family's 1533-position model. The record is from RNAcentral.
GAUGAACGCUGGCGGCGUGCCUAAUACAUGCAAGUCGAGCGAACGGACGAGAAGCUUGCUUCUCUGAUGUUAGCGGCGGACGGGUGAGUAACACGUGGAUAACCUACCUAUAAGACUGGGAUAACUUCGGGAAACCGGAGCUAAUACCGGAUAAUAUUUUGAACCGCAUGGUUCAAAAGUGAAAGACGGUCUUGCUGUCACUUAUAGAUGGAUCCGCGCUGCAUUAGCUAGUUGGUAAGGUAACGGCUUACCAAGGCAACGAUGCAUAGCCGACCUGAGAGGGGGAUCGGCCACACUGGAACUGAGACACGGUCCAGACUCCUACGGGAGGCAGCAGUAGGGAAUCUUCCGCAAUGGGCGAAAGCCUGACGGAGCAACGCCGCGUGAGUGAUGAAGGUCUUCGGAUCGUAAAACUCUGUUAUUAGGGAAGAACAUAUGUGUAAGUACUGUGCACAUCUUGACGGUACCUAAUCAGAAAGCCACGGCUAACUACGUG